This 524-nucleotide ribosomal RNA is filed under the name uncultured bacterium. Its description in RNAcentral is "partial 16S ribosomal RNA". It matches the Rfam family "Bacterial small subunit ribosomal RNA", at positions 28 to 523 of the family's 1533-position model. The record is from RNAcentral.
GACGAACGCUGGCGGCGUGCCUAAUACAUGCAAGUCGAGCGCAGGAAACUGACGGAACUCUUCGGAGGGAAGGCAGUGGAAUGAGCGGCGGACGGGUGAGUAACACGUAAGGAACCUGCCUCAAGGAUUGGGAUAACUCCGAGAAAUCGGAGCUAAUACCGGAUAGUUCAACGGACCGCAUGGUCCGUUGAUGAAAGGCGCUCCGGCGUCACCUUGAGAUGGCCUUGCGGUGCAUUAGCUAGUUGGUGGGGUAACGGCGCACCAAGGCGACGAUGCAUAGCCGACCUGAGAGGGUGAUCGGCCACACUGGGACUGAGACACGGCCCAGACUCCUACGGGAGGCAGCAGUAGGGAAUCUUCCACAAUGGACGAAAGUCUGAUGGAGCAACGCCGCGUGAGUGAUGAAGGUUUUCGGAUCGUAAAACUCUGUUGUAAGGGAAGAACACGUACGAGAGGAAAUGCUCGUACCUUGACGGUACCUUACGAGAAAGCCACGGCUAACUACGUGCCAGCCGCCGCGGUAA